CCUACGGGUGGCAGCAGUGAGGAAUAUUGGUCAAUGGUCGGGAGACUGAACCAGCCAAGCCGCGUGAGGGAUGAAGGUACAGAGUAUCGUAAACCUCUUUUGUCAGGGAACAAAGACGGGGACGUGUCCCCGGAUGAGUGUACCUGACGAAAAAGCAUCGGCUAACUCCGUGCCAGCAGCCGCGGUAAUACGGAGGAGGCGAGCGUUAUCCGGAUUUAUUGGGUGAAAGGGGUGCGCGGGCGGUCUGUUAAGUCAGCGUGCAAAGCCGGGGGCGCAACCCCGGCCCGCCGUUGAAACUGGCAGUCUCGAGUUGGAGAGAAGUAUGCGGAAUGCGCGGUGUAGCGGUGAAAUGCAUAGAUAUCGCGCAGAACUCCGAUUGCGAAGGCAGCAUGCCGGCUCCACACUGACGCUGAGGCACGAAAGCGUGGGUAUCGAACAGGAUUAGAUACCCGGGUAGUC
This 459-nucleotide ribosomal RNA is filed under the name uncultured bacterium. RNAcentral's name for it is "partial 16S ribosomal RNA". It matches the Rfam family "Bacterial small subunit ribosomal RNA", at positions 338 to 795 of the family's 1533-position model. The record is from RNAcentral.